This 1373-nucleotide ribosomal RNA is filed under the name uncultured bacterium. Its description in RNAcentral is "bacterial SSU rRNA". It matches the Rfam family "Bacterial small subunit ribosomal RNA", at positions 28 to 1381 of the family's 1533-position model. The record is from RNAcentral.
GAUGAACGCUGGCGGCGUGCCUAAUACAUGCAAGUCGAGCGAACGGACGAGAAGCUUGCUUCUCUGAUGUUAGCGGCGGACGGGUGAGUAACACGUGGAUAACCUACCUAUAAGACUGGGAUAACUUCGGGAAACCGGAGCUAAUACCGGAUGAUAUUUUGAACCGCAUGGUUCAAAAGUGAAAGACGGUCUUGCUGUCACUUAUAGAUGGAUCCGCGCUGCAUUAGCUAGUUGGUAAGGUAACGGCUUACCAAGGCAACGAUGCAUAGCCGACCUGAGAGGGUGAUCGGCCACACUGGAACUGAGACACGGUCCAGACUCCUACGGGAGGCAGCAGUAGGGAAUCUUCCGCAAUGGGCGAAAGCCUGACGGAGCAACGCCGCGUGAGUGAUGAAGGUCUUCGGAUCGUANAACUCUGUUAUUAGGGAAGAACAUAUGUGUAAGUAACUGUGCACAUCUUGACGGUACCUAAUCAGAAAGCCACGGCUAACUACGUGCCAGCAGCCGCGGUAAUACGUAGGUGGGCAGCGUUAUCCGGAAUUAUUGGGCGUAAAGCGCGCGUAGGCGGUUUUUUAGUCUGAUGUGAAAGCCCACGGCUCAACCGUGGAGGGUCAUUGGAAACUGGAAAACUUGAGUGCAGAAGAGGAAAGUGGAAUUCCAUGUGUAGCGGUGAAAUGCGCAGAGAUAUGGAGGAACACCAGUGGCGAAGGCGACUUUCUGGUCUGUAACUGACGCUGAUGUGCGAAAGCGUGGGGAUCAAACAGGAUUAGAUACCCUGGUAGUCCACGCCGUAAACGAUGAGUGCUAAGUGUUAGGGGGUUUCCGCCCCUUAGUGCUGCAGCUAACGCAUUAAGCACUCCGCCUGGGGAGUACGACCGCAAGGUUGAAACUCAAAGGAAUUGACGGGGACCCGCACAAGCGGUGGAGCAUGUGGUUUAAUUCGAAGCAACGCGAAGAACCUUACCAAAUCUUGACAUCCUUUGACAACUCUAGAGAUAGAGCCUUCCCCUUCGGGGGGGACAAAGUGACAGGUGGUGCAUGGUUGUCGUCAGCUCGUGUCGUGAGAUGUUGGGUUAAGUCCCGCAACGAGCGCAACCCUUAAGCUUAGUUGCCAUCAUUAAGUUGGGCACUCUAAGUUGACUGCCGGUGACAAACCGGAGGAAGGUGGGGAUGACGUCAAAUCAUCAUGCCCCUUAUGAUUUGGGCUACACACGUGCUACAAUGGACAAUACAAAGGGCAGCGAAACCGCGAGGUCAAGCAAAUCCCAUAAAGUUGUUCUCAGUUCGGAUUGUAGUCUGCAACUCGACUACAUGAAGCUGGAAUCGCUAGUAAUCGUAGAUCAGCAUGCUACGGUGAAUACGUUCCCGGGUCU